This 273-nucleotide ribosomal RNA is filed under the name uncultured bacterium. RNAcentral's name for it is "partial 16S ribosomal RNA". It matches the Rfam family "Bacterial small subunit ribosomal RNA", at positions 524 to 796 of the family's 1533-position model. The record is from RNAcentral.
UACAGAGGGUGCAAGCGUUAAUCGGAUUUACUGGGCGUAAAGCGUGCGUAGGUGGCCGCGUAAGUCGGUUGUGAAAUCCCUGGGCUCAACCUGGGAAUUGCUUCCGAUACUGCGUGGCUCGAGUUCGGUAGAGGGUGGCAGAACUCCCGGUGUAGCGGUGAAAUGCGUAGAUAUCGGGAAGAAUACCGAUGGCGAAGGCAACCACCUGGGCCUGAACUGACACUGAGGCACGAAAGCGUGGGUAGCAAACAGGAUUAGAAACCCCCGUAGUCC